GGUGGUGGUGUCACGUGGUUUAGCGACGACAGUGGAGGAAACCGGCGGAGCCGGUGUCAUUUUUCUGAGCGGCGAUAGCUUCUGCCGACGCGUAUUUUCCGGCAACAGAUUCUCCGGCGCCGCUCGGAUUUGCUAUUUUCCGGUGGUGGAGAUUAUGCUCAGUGACUAUGUUUUGGUUUAGAGAGGUUCUAGUCAAAACUAUGGUUUGGGUGUUUCAAGCAACGUCUAGGGUUCGGGCCAGUUCAUUGUUCGGGUCGCGACAGAAUCUUGGGUUCGGGCAUCGGGUCGACUCGGUCAAACCGAGUCAAUUCAGUCAACCCUGGUCAACGUAGUGAGUCAACUCAGUUGACCCGGUCAACUCGGUUGACCCGGUCAACUCAGUCAAAUGGUUCGAUGUUUCGACACGCGAAGACUCGGUAAAGGAUUUAUGACGAUUAUUAUUCAUUUGUUAUUAUUAUACGCAAAACCGAGCUCGAACUGAUUCGUAUUGAUUAUAGUUACAUUUUA
Molecule: long non-coding RNA, 507 nt
Organism: Helianthus annuus (common sunflower)
Lineage: Eukaryota; Viridiplantae; Streptophyta; Magnoliopsida; Asterales; Asteraceae
Exons: 2
Source: RefSeq, a predicted model, not a curated record